This 8842-nucleotide long non-coding RNA is filed under the name Triticum aestivum (bread wheat). RNAcentral describes it as "long non-coding RNA (TAES_LNC027736)". The record is from RNAcentral. Lineage: Eukaryota; Viridiplantae; Streptophyta; Magnoliopsida; Poales; Poaceae.
CACCAGAUCUCCUCUCCCUUGAGUUUUCCUCCAGUAUCGCUCGCCGCCGCAUCGCCUUCGUUGGAAUCCAUCCACUCUCGCACUCAUACAAAGUACGAAUCGCGGAUCCACCCACUCUUCUCCUCGUAGUCGCAAUCUUUGACGUUUUUGAUGUGUGUUGUUUUUAUGACAGAUUUUUUGCAAAAUCGUGCUGAGUGGAUCUGGGAUAGAAGUUGUUUUGAGGGAGAAUAAAAGUUCAUUUUCUGUCAGGUGGGGAGGAGCACUUUAAUUUUUGUUACUAUGAUUCAUCGAUUUCAUCUAGAUGCUCACCACGACAAGGAUUUUGGGGGCUAGGGUUUGGUCAGGGAGGGGUGGGGUGGGAGGAUGCGGGAUCUGACCCGCAUGAUGAAAUUGUUGUUGAUUGGGAAGCAGAGUGGCUCAAUCUUUAGGUUCUAAUCUUGUAAAGGUGUGUUUGCGAAUUAGUAGAGUUUGGGGAACAGGAGGCAGGAGAUGAUGCAUGUUUGUGCGGUGGUUGGGGGAAGUGCUUGGGCGGGCGGACAUGCAUCUUGGUAUUAUCUAGCCAUGAUUUCUAUCUAGACCCCCUUGGUGGUCAGGCACACUUUUCUUUUUGUUAUUACGAUUCAUCAAUUUUCAGGUGGGGUGCUCCCCCCCGGUGAUUCUAAAAAAAUGAUACAUCAAUUCCAUCUGUUUGCUCGCCACGACAAGGACUUUGGGGGAUAUGGUUUGGUCGGGGAGGGGUGGGGUGGGAGGAUGCGAGAUCUAACCGCACAUGAUGAAAUUCUUGUCGAUCGGGAAGCGGAGUGGCUUAGUCUUCAGGUUCUAGUCUUGUAAAGGUGUGUUUGCGAAUUAAUAGAGUUAGGGGAACAUGAGACACGAGAUGAUGCAUGUUUGUGCGGUGGUUGGGGGAAGUGCUUGGGCGGGCAGAAAUGCAUAUUGGUACCAUCUAUCCAUGGUUUCUAUCUGGACCCACCCCCUUGAUGACCUCCUAUGAUUUUCUAAUCCUUCAUGUUUUUUUUAUUUUCCUCUCGUUGAAGGGACAUAUAUAUGGUUUACAAGUUUUUUGAUCUCACGUUAAUGUUUCCUACUAACAUUGUCACAGGGGGCGAUAGUUGAUGGAAUAAAAAGACGACAAAUUCUCAUCCACAUAGCCCAAUACCGAAGGUAAUUAGUCUAUGCACACAAUUACUUCAUCUGCAUGCUUUAUUUACAUGUCAUUGGCAACUAUGUGACACUAAAUUAGUUUCUAGUUCACUUAUGUGUGUCCUAUUUUACAUAGAUUCCAUGGCAAUCUACCUCGUACACCCCAAUUUUUUUAUUUUCUCCCGAUUUUGUGACGACGCAUCAUAUAUGACAAGUUUUGUUAUCCACAUAUGGAUUUCGUGUUACUUGUGAGAUACAUUUGAUUUUUUCUGGUAAUAUUUUGGUAUGAAACACAAUGUCAUUCUCUACAUAUGCAUGCAUAGCAACUUCUUUCUGAUUUUUUUGUCGCACAAUUAAUAUCUCUCAAAUUUUUUGUAGUGUCCUUAUAUGGUUAUUUUUUCACAUUCUCCCCAUGUCUGCAUAUUGUACAUUUUCUCGUGGCACUCCUUUGCAAAGGGGUGGUGCUUUUCUCUCUCUUAAGGUGUGGAUGCACAUUGACAAUUGUGUUGUUCAUAAAUGGAUUUACAUCUUUGUUUACCAUGUGGCAAGUUUUGUUUACUUAACACUACAGGGCUAAGCUCCACAGCCAAACUUUUCUUUCACACCCCAUGAUUUUGCUGAUUUUUCACGCGUACCCUCUCUACUUUUGCAUUUUAUUUGUCAUUUGCAGCUACUUCAUGUUGACAACUUAGACACUGGACAUCAAUGACUUGAAAUAAAUAUAUCUCAUGAACCUUUCGUUGUACCCACAUGAAAAAACAAGCUCAUUUAUCAGAUGAUAAAGGAAGACACGGUGGUUGAUGGCUCUUUCAACAAUAUGCACGUAAUUCAUGAAAAUCUUUACACAAUUGACAUGUCAAUUUAUACUUAUAUUAUAGUAGCUCAUGCUCACAUGUCAUGGCAACUUUAGUAGGGCCAAGUACUAGUAGUAUCGAAUUUUUUUGCCCAAGUCACAUGGGCUGCUUCAUGAUAGGGUUGUCUAGGGAUGCAUUCCAUGCUAACUGUAUUUUUUCGCAAUUUAGAUGGCAACUUUCUCUUGUUUCUCUAUGCAAAUGAUUUUUUCCUCAUCUUCGCCAUUUUUCACUAUUGGUCUAUGAAUGCCAGUGAACUACAUCUUCUUCUUGGUAAUAAAUUACAUCUUCUUCUGGGGCAUAUAGGGAUUUAAGAUAUGGAAUGAUAUCAAUACAACUCCUACUAGUUCUACCAAGGUACAUUAUUUGGUCUUAUGUUCUUAUCCAUUUCCUAUAAGUGCACCAUUCGACUAUGUGCCAUUUUGGAGUAUGACCUUGGGUGUUUUCUUUCCCAUCUUGGUAUUUGUCUUUCUGGAUAUUGUGCGUGCAACUGCAAAAAUAACCACGACAUAUGGGAACUCUCUCUCUCUCUCUCACACACACCAUAUGGUAGUUUUGUUUAGCAAAACAUGGCAAAUUAUCCUAGCACGUGCAUUACUGAUUGUUGUUAAGAAUGGAGGGGAACUUAAUUGGCUUAUGUUGAUGGCAAUCUGACACAUAAUUAUAUGCUAACAUUAGGCCACAAAACACAUGUCAACUUUUAGAUAAUUAUAUGUCAACACUAGGUAUUAACACAUGACAAUCAUUUGUUUCAUGGGUUCUCGAGGGAAAUUAGAGGGGGUGAAAACUUAUCACAUGUGGAUGGAAACACUAGAUCAUGAUACAUAGCAGCCUUUUCCAUACCUUUUUCAUUUGAACUAUGUUUUUGUAUGGAGGGUAAUUAUAGGGAGGGUGGAAAAUUACCAUAACCUUAGAUGACAAAUCCAAAGCACAAGCCAUAACAAUUUUCAUACAACAUCCAUGUUUCUUUUUUACUUUGGAGGAAGUGGGAGGGGGGAUUGGUGUUGAUGGAUAGUUGUAUCCCUCUGUCACAUGUACCGCAUGGGGCAUAUAUGCAUAGGGACGUGUGGGUUCAAGAGACCCAUACAUGGGAGACCGACUUAAUGGAAGGUGCCUCCCCUGAUUUCCCAUAAAGGAAGUCAAGGCCUUUCAAAACUAGGGAGGAGUCCAAUUCUUGGGGACCAGCAUCACUGCUGGGGGUGGGGGAGGGCACCACCAUAUUUCACAUAUACAAGGUCGUCCGACACCACACAGAAGGACCAAGAUCUACACACAUUGCAAUCUGCCCAUAGAAGCCACAUCAAUCCAUGGCACCCUGUCUAGAUCGACCCCUCGAGUUGCCUCCCAACUUUCCAAAACCCUCUCUAUAAAUCUUCGUUGUACUCUAUAUCAAGAUUAACCCGAUAUAAGCAUGAGUGGAGCNNNNNNNNNNNNNNNNNNNNNNNNNNNNNNNNNNNNNNNNNNNNNNNNNNNNNNNNNNNNNNNNNNNNNNNNNNNNNNNNNNNNNNNNNNNNNNNNNNNNNNNNNNNNNNNNNNNNNNNNNNNNNNNNNNNNNNNNNNNNNNNNNNNNNNNNNNNNNNNNNNNNNNNNNNNNNNNNNNNNNNNNNNNNNNNNNNNNNNNNNNNNNNNNNNNNNNNNNNNNNNNNNNNNNNNNNNNNNNNNNNNNNNNNNNNNNNNNNNNNNNNNNNNNNNNNNNNNNNNNNNNNNNNNNNNNNNNNNNNNNNNNNNNNNNNNNNNNNNNNNNNNNNNNNNNNNNNNNNNNNNNNNNNNNNNNNNNNNNNNNNNNNNNNNNNNNNNNNNNNNNNNNNNNNNNNNNNNNNNNNNNNNNNNNNNNNNNNNNGGUAUUAGAAGAAGCUAUGGCGAUCUACCAAUACGUGAACCCGCAACACGUCAGAUUGGGAGGGAGAGUUUGGGGGGGGGGGUGUUCUUUUGAAGGAGGAAGAAACUUGUCGUGGAGUCAGGAUGAACCUGGAUCCGGAUUUAGAUCUAGUGGCCCCGCGCUCACGCUUGCGGGUUGAAGAGUCUGGUCACAAGACUUCUCUCUAUUGCCCGUUCAUGGCAUAGCUCGCGGCUUGUUCUAGUGUGAAUCAUUUCUGCCAUGCGUUGAUGCGCCAUGGGGACAACUAACCUACGUCCGUGCCAUAUAUGCAUCCAAUAACAUACCCGCUUGAAACAGAGCAACUAAAAAAAUACAGGAUAGGAAAAAUCACAGGAAUUUUGUUGCCAUUUAAUCUAUUGAACAAGAAAGGUUGUUCAAUUUGAGUUCUAACCUAAAACAUAGUAAUGCUAAAAGAUUACCAUUGAUACUAUAUAAUGAAAUAUACAUGAAUUCAAGACACAAGGAAGAAAAAACAUAAGGUAAGACCACAUGUCUGAUUUCCAGCAAAGUCCCUAGGGAUUGUCCAAUUCAUAAAAAAUCCGGUGAAGCAUUUCUUACUCUGAAUGAUACCAUAGGAACUAUUUAUAUAGGCAUUUAGUUCUCCAAAUUCCUAUCUUUUUCCAUUUUUACCAAACGAGGCCUUGACGUAGGAUAAAAAAACAUUUUAACUGUUUGCAAAAGUCAGUAUUACAUUCAUUCCAUGAAUAUCUGUCAUCAUAAAAAUGUGCCUAUUUAUAUUUUUUGCAAAAAAGCACAAAAUCCAUGUAUUAAGUAGCACAUGUCCCUACAAAAGCAUCCUUGGAGAAAAAAAAUCAAAUUCUUAAGGACGUCGAAGUGUUGUUCCUCAUGCAUCCAUCAACGGCGUGCCAUGAAAAAGAUCUUGUUGCUGGCUCUGGGCCUCCAUCUCAGUGUAGCCAACUCAUUAAAACUCAUGACCUUGUAAAAGUAGUGACCGCGAAAUCAUCGAUGUAGGCUAGAAGACGUAUGCAACCACAAUCCACGUAGAAAAUUGCCACACCGCAAAAGAUAACACCAAAGAGGACCCAUAGAACGUCCCAUGUUCGACCAGGCAGAGUUGGGGAACAUGAACCUCACCUGCUCUCCGACUAGGUCAAGACUGGCCAACAUCAUCUACCAGAGCUAAUGCCGGAGAACCAAGAUGUAUAACCACAUUAUCGGCUUCAUAGGACAACGCCACCAAGAAAAUUUUGGAAAAUAAAAAGGCACACCACGAGAACUAGAUAUUGGCACACACGAUCCUAAAUAAGCACAUUGGGGUUCCAUGAACUUCCAGCUAGCCAGCAUGCCGUAGGACAUCAUUCCUGCAUUGGAACGGGGCCGACGCCUCACCGCCACAAAUCAUGCGACUUGCUAAAGAAAAUUGGAGACCAAUCGCCCAUGCCGCUUCAUGCCAGAUUUGGGCUUGAUGUCGAGCUCAUUGUCACCCAGGACCAUGCCCCGACGCCCUCUUCUCUCAUGAUCCAGCCAGGUUAGCCCACUUUCUAAGAUCGCAGCGCUGGAUCAACAACGCCGCUGUCAAGAAUCGUUCAUCGAAGACCGCACCUCGGUUACUCAUCUCCGUCCCUGACCCACAAUAACCCAUCAACUCCUCCCUAUCAGGCCCCUACACUCAGCAACAUUCCCGCUACUGCGCACACUGCAUGGACGAUGAUCAUAAUAGCGGCGAGAGACGGAGAAGACGAGUGACGGCUAGGGGUUCAAUCGUCCGCCUCGACCCUCUCCUACCAAGGGCAUCUCCAACACCGACCCUCAAACCGUCCGCAUACAUCCGAACCAUGCUGUCCAGAUGUGUUGUGCCAUCCAAUGCAGGCCUGUAUAGGUCCAUCGGGCGGUCUGGAUGUAUUUUUCCCACAAACCAGAGACAAACAAGGGGGAGCGGGGCUUUGCGGGCGCCUGGACCGCUGCCACAUCCGCUCCUGACCACCCUAACCCACAAAAAAAACCACGCACCUCUCCCCCACUUUUCAUUGAAUGCCCGCGGCGCUUGCCGCGCCGCAUUCAUGUCGGCCCAGAGCAUGCAGCGGCCGCCAUUGAUGCCCACGAUUUGACCGGACGGGAAGGCGGCGCGGACGGUCGUGACCUCUCGGGUGUUGCAGCUUCAAUGGGGACGCCCCGUCCCGAGAUACCAACUCCGGUCUUGUGCCGCAUUGAAGCGGGUUGGCCGCCCCUCCGCCUGGCCUGGCCGUGACUAUUUAGGCCGUUCACCGGCGAUGCACAGAACCACAUUCCUCACUCCGAUAGGUGAAGGACGAGCCGGCGUCCCCGCCGAAGCCGCAGCCUCCACAUCGUCGUCCGCGUGAAGAAGGAGCCGACGUCCCCCCAGCACCUCCUCCACGUGAAGGACGAGCCAGCAUCGCCCCCACUGCACAACCUCCAUGCGCAAAUCGACGGACCCUCGUCGCCACCACGACGCCACUGCAUCCUGAUAAAGGAGGAGCUGCUGCCCGCGAUCACGAAGGCACGUGGCCGCAUCCCCGACUACCUUGGAGGAGGCAGUUCCGGUGGUGCCUCCGGCUCUUAGGACAUGGUAUCCGAGGAGGAGCGCGCGGCGAGGCAGCAGGCGAGGUGCAAACGGCGCAAUGCCGGUCACCGUUCUGCGUUCGCCAAGAUCGACGUGGCGUCGAAAUGGGUCUGCAACGACCCGGACCUCGCCGCCGCGUGGGCGCUCGACCGCUCUGUCACAACCGGGGAGACGAUCACCAGGCGCCGCCGCCACCUUGACGGCGAGCUUGCCACGAUCGGCGAGGAGUGCGACUGCUCUGCCAACGCCGACAAGGCAAGGCCGCUGCCAGGGCUCUACCGGCGUCCUUGGCAGUGGCCAAGACGGCCCUCCUCACCAUGCAACAGGAGGCGGAGCGAUUCCUCCGCGAGCGGCAGGCAACCACCGGACAAGGCUGUCGCGGCCCUCCGGCAUCCUUGCGCCGUUGGAGGGACAACGGCGGCGGCACGGACGGCGAAGCGAUGCGGCAGGAUAGGGCGGCCACGCUUACGAGGUGGUUGUCCGAUAUAGGAUAUAGUUUUUUUAAAAGAUUUUAGUAAAAGUGGUCAAAAACCAUCUGUUUAUAUAAAUUACAUCUGAACUUGAAUGAAAUCCGCCUGGUUUACAUGAAUUUCAUCCGUUUAGUUUCAAAAAUUGUUGAAUUGUAUGCGGCCAACGCUGGAUGGCGGUCACCGACAUCAAUGUCCAUGGACAGGGGAUCUCUCUGUCGGCGGACAGAUGUGGGAGAAAAUUAGCGGCUCUGAAUUGGAGAUGCGUAAACUCUGAACUCUUGCUCUCAUGCACUCACGACGAGAGCACGGACUCCUCGGGCAUGAGGAGUACUGCCAACGUGUGGCUCGGGUCCUGGCAUGGACGGGAGCAGCGCACGACGUUGUUUGCAACGGUGGACAUGACGGUGCACAAGGCGCACGGCGCCGGCAACGCGGCAUAGACACGGCUGCGUUGAUUUUAGAAGGGAGAGAGAAAGGCACUAGUGAUAGACGAUGGAUUGACACGUGGGUAAGGAUGUAAGUGAGAGUAGACUCUGAUCCUGGGCGGGAUAGAAUGCUUCCUGGUGUACCAAACAGGUUCAGGGUCGGGAUCAGACUAGGAUCGUCAGUACAUGGAACAAAAUUCAGGGAUUUUGAGGUGAGGAUUCAGCGGCUACCUUCUCGUCAGCUGAAAUGCUGAAUCCUUCGAAAUCGUGGAACCACAAGCCAGUUUGUGCUUGCCUGCACGCGCUGUACUAGUCGUAGUAGUUUUUCUUGGGGUGGCCAUUGUUGGUGUGAUGUGAGCUGGGCCAUUCUUCUCCGUAUGUCCUCGAGAACUGUCAGGUUGCCGCUGAAAGCGAGCCCAUGUCUUUUUCUUCAGACAGCGAGAAGUCAUGUGUUAUCAUCUGUCGACUCUGUCUAAUUCUUCUUUUCCAUACCAUACCACCCUUGUCUGAUUUUUCUUUUCCACACCAUCCUGGGGAGGAGGGGCUCUAUCUGAUUUUGCUUUUCCAUGUCAUCAGGUCGACUCUUGUCUGAUUAAUAUCUGUCUUCCAUUUGAGUAAAGUCUGGUUAGUAUCUGUCAGUAUGACAUUUUUGUAGUGUUCAAAAAAAAAGUAUGACAUUUUUGUAGAACACGGAAGAGUCAGUAUGUUGAUGGCUUUGUUAAUUCAAAGCCGGGCUCUUCUGGAGCCUACGUUCCAAAAAAAGAUUAGUAUAUAUAUUGGUGUAUCUGUGGGCUUCUAACAGGCCAACUAAUGCACGACAAAUUCUGGGCCUAGAUUCCAUCUAGAUGGUCCAGGCCCAAAAAUAAAAGGUAGACAUGCAUUUUCACAUGCAUGCCUGACUUUUCUCAGAAAAAAAAGAUGCAUAACUGACUAUUUUUUUUGCGUGUAGACUGACUUUACAUUUUGUCACCUAUCUAUUUUUCCAUUUUUGAGGACACUACCUUUUGUCACCUCCUUGAAUUGAAGAGCACCGUACCGUAAGACUCCUUGUACUAAUCCAACCCCCGAAUUAGAAACGACGAUCUUGACAGCAGUAGGCAGUAGCAAACGGCCACACACGGUUUACUAGUAUCCUUGUCUCUCAUGCUAACGUUCGUAAUGCUCAGUCGUCGGGCAGUGAGGUGUCUCGGCGGCGGCAGUCGUCGGCUAGCUAUUGAAAAAAACCACCACGCCCCACGAGUUCGUCUCGUAUACCAGGCUUAACUCGCGGCCUCAUUUGGCGCUUUGGCAGCAUCCUAUCCAUCCAGUACGAGACGAACUGUCUACUACUGUAUCUAUCUAUCUAUAGCUCACCUUUUUCAUUAAUCACGUGAAUUUAAUAGCUAUCUGAUGCUUUAAUUGAUCCUUAUCUCUUGCAUGCUGCAGGCUAUAAAUAGAGGGUGCGGCACACAAGGCUGAACCACAGAACCACACACACCACAACCCACAAGCAAGAGAGUACGUAGAGUGAGACCACAGUGGUGAGGAGAGAUCGG